Long non-coding RNA from Dreissena polymorpha, 780 nucleotides. RefSeq lists it as uncharacterized. The record is from RefSeq and is a predicted model, not a curated record. Lineage: Eukaryota; Metazoa; Mollusca; Bivalvia; Myida; Dreissenidae. The transcript is spliced from 2 exons.
UACAUCAUCUGAGCGAUUUAUAGAACAAAGUUAUAAGAAUCAUGCCACAUAUAUAAUGUACCUUUAAUCGUUUGUUUACUUAGCAAACGCCUUCAUAGAUAUCAUAUCAGCCAUAACAGCAAUACAUUUCUGUCUCUUACAUAUUACAGCCUGUAGUUUAACUAGAGCACAUACUUGAGGUAUUCGUGCGAUAACACAUUUCACAAAUCAUAAAGGAAAGUGUGAACAUAAGUGUGUGCUUUAAAAACAUAUACUUGGAAUGCUUCAAAAGCGUUACUUUCUGGUAGACAUGUCAGCUCCGGACCAGACUGCGCAUAUAUUCAGGGAAAGAAGAAGUGCACUAGCUAAAUUUAGAAUAGAAUCAGGCUGACACGAGGGAUUACCCGAACAUGAACGACUUGCUGCCACUGCCUCACAUAUAUAGAAAAAACGGAACAUGUGUUAAUGUUAUUACGUAACAAGUGUGACAGAAUUCGCCUAGAUAUGUUUGUUAAUAUUAUGAAUAUUGAACCUGGUUUCUUAUUGUAUACAUUUCAUAACAAUUUUUGCAGUGCAUGUCUAAUAAGUUCUUUGUUAAAUACACUGCCUAAGCCUACAAUCACAUUUUAAUACCUCUUAAAAACUAUAUAUAUUAUGAUACUUUUACACUGUUGUCAAUCUUUUAGAGUGUUUUAAUGAUGUUUAUAUUACGUUUUAUCUGUCCAUAGUCUCUUGUAACCAUCAUUGAGUGGAUUUGUACAUUUUAUUGUAAAUAUUUUAAUUAAACUAUAUUUUGUUAUA